AAAUAUCUAUAUUUACUGAAACCUCGGUAAAAUAGCUUUUUGUGACCCCUUUGACCGCUCGUCAGUUUUUAGGUCUCAAAACCACGCUAUUUCCCUCGGUCUCGGUAAAUACAUGUAAAUUAUAAAUAAUGAAUUAAUUGAUAAAUUAAAUAAUGAAUUAAUUUUUGAAAAAUUGCAUGUUAGACAAAACUUAGCAAGUAAUUCUAUAAUUUUAAUAGUUACAUGUAUUCGAUGACUUCUGCAGUUUCCCAAUAGACCAAUCAAACGCAAUUUAAUAUGGGAAACGUUGUCGUUUUAAUUUGAGGUACAUCAUAGAGCUUAGAAUUUUUUAAUAUUGUGAUAUAAUCAUGUAAAAUAUAUAUAGUAAAUGAUGAACAUAAAUAACAAAUACCUUAUUUCUCCCGCAUUUUACUAGCGCUGGAUUAAACCUUUCUGGGGCACCGGAUGUAAAAAAAUUAGGACUGGUUACUAAUGACCUGCUGAAGGAUAGUUUUUAGCUGGCGCCCACUCUCAAAUAAAUCUUAUUUGCGGUCAGCUUAAAAAGGUCUCGUAUUUUCGAUAAUCAGUUCGUUGAACUUUUUGUCCUAAAUUUUCGUGCAGAAGCCCUGGGCAUGAG
Molecule: non-coding RNA, 616 nt
Organism: Paramuricea clavata
Lineage: Eukaryota; Metazoa; Cnidaria; Anthozoa; Malacalcyonacea; Plexauridae
Source: the annotation of a GenBank genome assembly